AUGCUAUUUUACAAAUUCGUCACCAAACAUAGAGAAUCUCAAGAUGCACCGGAGGCAUUGACUUCGAAGGACCAUGAUGUAACUUUUGGUUUUAUCAGGCAUUUUUUUAUUUAUGUUCACUCCGGUUCUGUCAAUCUAUCGUACUUUUUUCAUGAAUCAAUAAACCUGAAUCGUUGUUCUAGAAAACACCAACCAGUUUCACCAAAAAUAUACACCUCUAUACAAAACACUUCACAAGAAAAUUUAAUCACUAUUGAAUAAAAAUAUUUACAGAUACUUAGAAAAUCCUGCUUAGAAAUCGAACUGAAAACCAAAUAAGACAGAAAAAGGAAAAUAAAAAUAAAAAAUAGGAAAUGAAAAAAACCCUGCAUUAUUGGGCUGGUUUCAAUUGACGUUCCAUGUACGGCUUGUGUGAUACCCUGUGCAUUUAGAUUUGACUCCUGCAGGACCUUGACCUCAUAUGUGUGUGCACAGGAGUGGGGGAAUAAUUCCACAUUGCUUCCUUUUCACGGAAUAAUUCCACGAUGGAAGUUUAGCUUGAGGAGACUCGAUAACUGACAUAUAAGGGCCUCCUUGACAGGAUGAAAAGAACAUAAGUAGAAAGAGAAAAAAAAACAUGGAUAUGAUGUCAAGAAAUGUUAAACCAUGCAAGAUAGACGUUGUUUGGUUGCACGACAAGGAAAACACAAGAUUUCUAGUUAAGCCCGUUUGUCAACCAUCGCUUCAUUUGGUAGAAAUGAAAUGAAAUCUAAUUUUUGAUAGGAUUCAUUUGGUUGAAUUUGAAUUCCUUUUUGAAAAAUCAUGUUUGUCUACGACCUAAAUUUGUAAAAUGAG
RNAcentral lists this long non-coding RNA (834 nucleotides) under Brachypodium distachyon (stiff brome). RNAcentral's name for it is "long non-coding RNA (BDIS_LNC000129)". Lineage: Eukaryota; Viridiplantae; Streptophyta; Magnoliopsida; Poales; Poaceae. The record is from RNAcentral.